This is a long non-coding RNA of Daucus carota subsp. sativus, 378 nucleotides long. RefSeq lists it as uncharacterized. The record is from RefSeq and is a predicted model, not a curated record. Lineage: Eukaryota; Viridiplantae; Streptophyta; Magnoliopsida; Apiales; Apiaceae. The transcript has 2 exons.
UUUUCCUUUGUCCUAUUGUUCAUCUCCUUUCUCUCCUACAUUCUGAAGGUCACUGGAGAAUCUUUGAUUCAACGCAAGGAUGAUACUGCAGCCGUUCUUAAGUCGAGGCUGGAUGCAUUUCAUAGACAGACUGAACCUGUUAUUGAUUACUAUAACAAGAAGCAUGUCGUUGCGAACCUUCAUGCUGAGAAACCACCGGAAGCUGUGACAGCUGAGAUUCAAAAGGCACUUUCUUAGGCCCGAGCCAUUUUAAAUAAACUUGAGUUGAACAAUGAAAUUCCAGAUUUUUUUGGUCCUCUUCACCUCUAACUUCUCAGCUUAGACAACUAUGUUGCUUCUAUUAAACACAAUUAUGAAAUCCUGCAGAUGGUUAGAUGA